CACUGCAGAAGGUCUACACUUGAAACGAACAAAGCAUAUCACAUUUCCCCCCCAUGCAUCCAUCUAUCUAAGUAUCAAUCUAUCUACUGAGAUGGACACAUCUGUCACAGCAAACACAAAAUGGAGGCCAUUUGUUUGAAAAUGUGCGCGUGUGUAAUAUGCAUGUAUCUCGUUGCCCCAUUUCCAUAGAAAUCAAAAGCCGUCAGAAGUUUACUCAUCCCCCUGUUUUGACUCCAUUCAAUCAAGUGUGUGUAUAAUUACCCAACUGCCGUAUGCUAAUCUAUGGGGACCCAAAUAUUGCGUUUUGACAAAUCCUUCAUUUGUAUUCACCCGCCACACAAAGCAUCAAUCGUGCCUUCCAUGCAGGCGGCCCCCCUAAACUUACCCACCCCCCAUUCCCUGGAAAACAGAGCUGCGGAGCAAGCGCCGCCUGAUUAGAACUGGGAUGCAUGCUGGGAUCUGCGUGUGUCAUUAAUAUCUUCCCAUCCAGAUGGCUCUUUCUAGGUAUUUGAAUUCAUAAAAAGCGCUAAGGCUGGGUCCUGCCCUGGAAGAGUUUGGCGAUGGGAACAGAGACCGGGAAUAAACAGAGUGUGCGUUCCAAAGUUGGCCACCCGCUGGGGCUAAUAAACGCCCCUCUUUCUUUGGUCACCCAGCCUCGGAGAGGAGGCAGAGGCUGUAAUUGCCAUGGUGAUGUGCUGAAUCCGCAGACACAGGAUAGCAUCCGUCUCGCUCGCAGGGUGAAAUCACACAGCGAUCAGCGGCCCGGCGCUCUCCAGUCAACCCGAUGUCUUAUCUGCACUUGUGCGUGCAGUCAGUCUGUUCCCGCUGAAAGUGGAGGGGCCGCUGUAUCCUCCACACUCUGCAAUUCCUUUCUCUUAAUCUACUGUCUACCCACUGUCAGAGCAACAGAAACAUUUGCAGCUUGCAUGAAAAGAAAUUACCGGGCGGACAGCCAGCGAGAGGGAAAGAGGUGCCGCCUCUGCGCUGUGACAGCGGGAGAAAUUGCUGCCACAACGGUUGUGUGGGGAGAGGAAGAAAACGAGGGAGGAUGACGAUGAUGCUGGCAGCGUCUCUAACCGGGGAAAAUAAACCAUGACAACAUCCAAAUCACACAUGCACUCACUCUCAGCGCGCUUGUUUACAGCGAUUAUGUGUUUGGGGAGGAGGCAAAGAGAGAAAGAGGGAGAGAACGCAUCUCAAUUUAUGAAGCUUUUUCCACCGCUGAGAGUCAACAAAAUGCAGGCAGUGUUCGCUUCCAGAGAGCCAAUUCUGCCAUCAGUGGAGGCAAACUCACAGGGAGAGCAGCUGAUUAGAGAACAGUAUGCUCUGUGCUGCAGGGAGAGCAUGGAAAAAUAGUGGCAUGUCUCUCUCAAUCCCUCUGCUGUGUCGCAGAAAUGAUUUUUAUGUCGCUCAAUGCUUUUUGACACAAUAGCAAAAAGAGAAAAAGAUUUCAAAUGGUAAAGCAUGCUCUCGCUUGCUGUAAAGCGACACUCUGUAUUAUCAAAAAAUACAUCGAAUGAACUAAUUAUACUUUGUAAGUAUGCAACAUCUGCAAGAAUGCUCUCAUUACUAUCAACAAAACUGUCUACACUGCAAGUGAUUUAACAAUGAGCACAUUUACAUGCACACCAAUAUGCUGAUAAUAACUACCAAAAAACAAUUGUCAAAUUUUUUUUUAAUGGUUAACAUGCAAACCAACAACAUGGCAACACUUCAGAAUUCAGUCAUUUCUGUACCUGAUUCUGCAUAUUCCAUUUAUUAUGUGAGUCAUGCUGUUAAAUAAAGCAUUAAAACCCCCUAAAUGUCAGCAGAAAAGUUCCCACAGCUGCAGGAUUUUGACUGUACAACUUCUCCUUCAGCUGCAUGAGAUGAAAAACACAUUUUAUAAUUUUUGGGGUCAAAAAAAACAGUCGGAGUGGACUAUAUAUUUUCUUCUCACCUACCAUGAAGCGCUUGUUCGGGCCAGAUGUGCUUCAAACCACAGAAAAAACUUUCCUGUCAUACAGUAAGAAGUUUUAACUUAAAUAGUCUGACAGAACACAGGUUAAGAUGUUUACAUUCCGG
This is a long non-coding RNA of Cyprinus carpio carpio, 2064 nucleotides long. NCBI's taxonomy places the organism in Eukaryota, Metazoa, Chordata, Actinopteri, Cypriniformes, Cyprinidae. The record is from Ensembl.